This 4936-nucleotide long non-coding RNA is filed under the name Capsicum annuum. RNAcentral describes it as "long non-coding RNA (CANN_LNC020517)". The record is from RNAcentral. Lineage: Eukaryota; Viridiplantae; Streptophyta; Magnoliopsida; Solanales; Solanaceae.
UCCUAAGAAUUAAAGUGAGGAAUUCUAACUAGAAAUGCGUUUUCUAGAGAUACCACUUUAAAAAGAAAGCGUGUCACAUGACAAAUGAAAACUAGCAAGGAAGUGCAUCUCCUAAGGGUUAAGUGCAAUAACUCGACUAGAAAGUACAUUUUCUAGAAAACAAGGGGACUGACUCGAGAAGGAUGUACAUCUACUAGGAAUCAAGACUUAAGUUAGGAAGUGCAUUACCCAAAAACCAAAGUUCGAAUUACCCAAUCAAGGAAGUGAAUCUCCUUACCGAUAUCGCUUGAAUUAUCAAAACAAGGAAUUGCGUCUCCUUACCAAUGUUGCUUGAAUUGCCUAAACAAGGAAGUGCGUCUCCUUACAAAUACCGCUUGAAUUACCAAACAAGGAAGUGUGUCUCUUUACAAAUGUUGCUUGAAUUACCAAACAAGGAAGUGCGUCUCCUUACAAAUGUUGCUUGAAUUACCCAAACAAAGAAGUGCGUCUCCUUACAAAUGUUGCUUGAAUUACCAAACAAGGAAGUACGUCUCCUUACCAAUGCCGCUUGAAUUACCAAAACAAGGAAGUACGUUUCAUUACAAAUGCCGCUUAAAUUACCAAACAAAGAAGUGUGUCUCCUUACAAAUAUUGCUUGAAUUACCAUACAAGGAAGUGUGUCUCCUUACAAAUACCGCUUGAAUUACCAAACAAGGAAGUGCAUCUCCUUACAAAUACCGCUUGAAUUACCAAACAAGGAAGUGCAUCUCCUUACCAACGUUGCUUGAAUUACCAAAACAAGGAAGUGCGUUUCCUUACAAAUGCCACUUAAAUUACCAAACAAAGAAGUGCGUCUCCUUACAAAUGUUUCUUGAAUUACCAAACAAGGAAGUGCGUCUCCUUAUAAAUACCGCUUGAAUUAUCAAACAAGGAAGUGUGUCUCCUUACCAAUGUUGCUUGAAUUACCAAAACAAGGAAGUGUGUUUCCUUACAAAUGCCGCUUAAAUUACCAAACAAAGAAGUGUGUCUCCUUACAAAUGUUGCUUGAAUUACCAAACAAGAAAGUUUGUCUCCUGAAAAAUACCGAUUGAAUUACCAAACAAGGAAGUGUGUCUCCUUACAAAUACCGCUUGAAUUACCAAACAAGGAAAUGCAUCUCCUUACCAAUAUCGCUUAAAAUUUUUAAGGAAAUACGUCUCCUUGAGAAGGAAGUGUGCCUCCUAGAGAUCUUAAAUUAUGAGUUUUACCAUGGUUUUGACUACCAAACUAGUGCAACAACAUUGCCUCUUGUAUUUAUAGAAAUGAGAAAUUAUGGCCUUUGAUGUUUAGGCUCUGAAAUCCUUGAUCUGAAUGUAACAUGUGUUACUGUUUCAUACAAAGAAAACUUGUUAGUUUAAAAACAUGGUAGCUGGUUUGUAGCUUUGGCUUUCCUGAAAAUCGCUCUUGCCCCUAUCACAUUAAAUCUUGCUUUCAACCAUUAGCAUGUGUCAUUGACCUGCUGCAUCAUUGGACCCAACUCAGAUUAUUUAAGAGCGAUUCUGAAACAGAUACAGUAUCUCUGUUUUGUCAUGCUUCUCAGAUAAACCCUUUGAACCUUGGUAUUUCCAUGAGUUCCCAGACUUCUCGGUUGACAAAACUUUCUGCAUGCCUUAUUUCUGCUCACAAUCAUGUCUCUUUCAUGUGUCGGCCUUUUGUCUUGCUUUACACAAUUAAAGAAGCUGGUAGUCAGUUUUGAAGUCUUUUCUCACUUGUUUUGAUAUGGACUUGACUCAAAGACGAGAAAAAAAUGACAAUAAUUUUUUUUAUUUUUUGGAUAACUGACUCAAGAAAGAUAAAACAAAAAUAAAGAGAAGAAAGAAAAGAAAAUGAAUGUCCCUAUUUGAAACAAUGAAACAACAAUUUAUCUAAAAAUGACAGUCAACUCUAAUGAUUAUGCUAUGUAUUUUGGAAUAAGUUACUUGAUCUUUCCAUUCAAAGUUUUUACCAAUUGUUCUUGAGUUAAUGACCCUAAAAUUGAGUUACUUGCUUGGACCCAUUGCAUUCGGAGAGCUCAUUCGGCUAGCGGCACAUUGAAGGAUUUUCGCCAACAAACCUCUCUCAUUUUUCUCUCAACUCACCAUCUCUUUAUGGUGCCCGUGAGGGUUUUCACCAAUAAGACUCUCUCAUUUUUAUUUCUCUCCUGAUUCCACUAAGGAAGACAAGUAGUUCCCAAAAUGCGUCAUUACAUUCAUUGUAUGCUUAGCCUUAACAUUUUCACAGAUUGAUCUGAAGGUCUUUCUUUGAUUGUAACUUGAAUUUUGGGGCCCAAAUGACACUUAAAGUGGGGUAGGACUUACAACUUUUGGAAUCGACUCAAGCAAUGAGGAAUAACUCAUGCCCCAGUUUUUUUUGACUUUGGAAUCAACUCAAAAAAUGAGGAUUAACUCAUGCCCCGAUUUUUUUACUGGGCAAUUCUAAAUUAUUUAUUUGGUUGGACCAAGCCCCGGGUAGGGCAGCCUACGUAUCUUACCCCCGAAAGAGGAGAAUCAGGUCACGCGUAGUUCUGACCGCUUGUCCUUUCACUUGAUUCUAUUUUUUUUUUUGAAACUUUUUCUCUUUGGGACUUUUCUGACAUAAUUUUUCUUGACACCCAUUUUUCUUUCUUUUUCGACACAUUUUUUUUUUUGAAUUUUGUUGACUCUAUCUUGAUUUCAAAAGAGGGGUAUGAAAGAAAAUAACACUAAGGCCCAAAUAGGGUAAACAAAUGAUGACACAAUGUUUGGAUAGCAGAAUGAAAUGCCUUCGUCAUAUCAAUUCUUGAAAAUGCUAGUACAUAGCAUGCAAUGCGAAAGUGCACAAUCAAGAUCACUAAUGAAAUGCUUUACAACACGAACUUGCCCCGGGCAUAUGUGCCACCUCUUUUUCUACACUUUCCCAACAUACAACUCCACUUUGUUGUACAUUCCUCAUGCUGAAGGACUCAUGACUUCGUGGAGCUAAUUUUCUUCCUAUUUCUCUUGAUAUAGAGAUCACACGUCCUCUAUUUGACCUAAUUAGGACCUGCCUUUCGAUCGAUGACCAAGUUGUUCUUGUGAUUCUCAAAAUAAUUGUCUUAACUUUUCACCAAAUAUCUUAGCACUCUAUCUAUUUUCUCAUAUGCUCUCUUUUCUAACUUUAACCCUUUGAUUUAAUGUUCAUGCUUAGACUGAAUUUUAAGAUCUGGCUGAAAAUUUCACUAACAUGUCAUAUCACCAGAGUCAACAUAAAAUGUACUAUGUAAAGAAAAUAAACAAACAAAACAUAUUUAAAACACAAAGAAAAAUGGGACACUUCAUUUAGUUGAAACAAAAAAUAGAAGGGUUUGAACAUAAACAGCAAAAGGAUAAAAUAAGAUAAAUCCCGAACUACAACCCUGAAAUAAUUCGGACAAUAGAAAAUAAAACAAAACAAGCUACCAGAUCUCUUCCUAGUAGGGGAGAGGGGUGACUUCUCAAUUGCUCAGCCUGACAUCUUAGCCACUGAUUUGCAUAUCAGCAUGACUAGAGCUUUCCUCGCUAUCAAUGUUCUGCACCAUGAUUGAUUUAUCUUGAAUCAUUUUUCAAUUUUUCUUUUCAAAUCACGACAAUCUUCAAUACUGAGACCCUGAACAUCAGAAUGAUAUGCACAUCGUAAAUUAGGAUCAAAACUUCUUGAGUGUAGGUCAGGAGUAUACCCAAGAAGAGGAGUGAUCAUGCCCUACUCUACUAAUCUCUGGAAUAAACUUACAUACGACUCUCCAAUUGGUGUGAAGCUAUCCGUCGACUUCUGUCUCAUUUCAUUAUUUGGCUUAAAUUGAAAACCAGGCCUUGAAGCGCUUCGGUAUAUAUGUGGAGUUAGAGGAUAACUCGGCAGAGUUGGUGCGUGCCAGCGUGGGUAAGAUGGGGGUUGAACAUAUGGUUGCGCAUUAUACACUUGAUAUGGAGAUGGGAGAAUGGAAUAUAAUGGAUUUUGGGAAAGAUCCUGUGAAACUUGGGCAUAAACUUUUGGGCUUGAGCCCGUGGGUAACGAUGGUAUGGUCCUCUUGCUCGUGCCUAUUGUCCAACUAUAAUGGAAGAUGCAUCUUCCUCAUUCUUCUUUCCUCCAACACUUCCCGAACCUAUUUAAAUUGCUUGAGUAGUUGCUUUCAAUAUUGCAAAACUCACAAUGCGACCGAUCUUAAUUUCAUCCUCUAUCAUCUCCCCUAUUUUGAGGACCUCAAAAAUGGUUUGUCUAAUGCAGGUAACAAGUGUUGAUAAUAUGUUUCAUCCUGCGUUUGAAUAAAUGCCUCCGCUAUCUUACUUUUUUUCAUUUGUGGUUUCACCCUAGCAGCUUGUUCACGCCAUCUAAUCGCAUACUCUCUGAAAGUUUCAGUACUCUUUUUCUUCAUAUUAGUCAGGGAUUUCUUAUCAGGAAUCAACUACAUAUUGUAUCGAAAUUGUUGCAUGAAUUCAUUAGCAAGGUCAUCCCAGUUGUUCCACUUGUCGAUGUCUUGGUCAACAAACUAUUCUGAAGCUAGACCUGAAAGACUCUCACCAAAAUAUGUCAUGAGUAAUUCUUCCUUCCCUCUAACGCUCCUUAACUGGUUGCAAUAGCAUCUCAAAUGUGCUACAGGAUCACUAUGUCCAUCAUACUUCUCAAACUUCAGCAUUUUAAAACCAAGAGGAGGAUGUACACCAGGAAACAUGCACAGAUCUUUAUAUGAGACACUUUUAUACCCCCCAAGUCCUCACAAGUUUUUCAUAGUCAGUUCCAAACUUCUCAAUUUUAUGGCCAUUUCCUCUUGUUCUUCUGUCAUAAUAGGCUUCUUAGUAUUAGGAGGAAAUUCAGGCAGUUGAGGGCAGUCGUAAGGACCAGUCGACUUAAAUGUGGGCUCGAGAGCAUAAUGCAGAUCACUAAAAAUAUUCAAUACAGGGUCGCUUGUAGAGUGAGGAAUCACAACCGUUGGAUUGACAUUAAAANN